AUACACACAAUAGGUAGGUUGAUACAAUAGAGGCCAUCUGGGGCAUGGGAUGAUGGUCGGAGAAAUUUUGACUGCCACCGGAAAAGGAGGGUAUAUUGGAUAGGGACAGAAAUUUUGCCUUGCAACAGGCCACCUACGGACCCCUCAAAGAGUUGUUGCAAGGCUUCUUAACGUGCAAAAAGCGUGGCUCUCUCUUUACACGAGGCAUCGGAUUUAACGUCCCCCUUCGGACCGGACGUGACUGCAAACUUGAUACAUCCCGCACAGCCAAACAGACGCC
RNAcentral lists this long non-coding RNA (280 nucleotides) under Mytilus galloprovincialis (Mediterranean mussel). Lineage: Eukaryota; Metazoa; Mollusca; Bivalvia; Mytilida; Mytilidae. The record is from RNAcentral.